UGAAGUUGGGGCCGAGCAAGAAAGUGCGA
RNAcentral lists this non-coding RNA (29 nucleotides) under Homo sapiens (human). Lineage: Eukaryota; Metazoa; Chordata; Mammalia; Primates; Hominidae. The record is from RNAcentral.